CCAUUCAAAUUUCGUUAGAUUCAUCUUUGCGAGAUCUACAUGUUAGUGGUACUGUUUCACCAGUUUACAACUUUUUAUUUUUCGUGGUCCUAUUUAAUAAUUAUAUUUGUAUAGGAAAUCUUAGAAAAUUCAUAACUUCUAUGUUUUAAUUCCGAUUUUUGUGAUCUUUACGUUUGUGUGAUCGUAGCGCUGCGUAGAAUGUUUUGUAAACUUUUAUAUUUGUUUUACCACUGUUGGUGUAUUGUUUUAAUUAUAGCCUGUUUACUUUGUGUAUGACUGUCCCAUUGGAAUGCGUGUUGUUGAUUGAUGAUCGAGUUUAGACGGUGAGUCGUAUGUUGGUGAGUAGGACCAAGUCUUUGACCACCAGGAGUCUCAGGAGAGCUUUGAUCAAGGCAAGUAUAACUUGAGACUAUCCUUGUUACCUAUACACAUUUAAUACAAUUUAUCAUAUGCAUGUGUCCACCUUGACAACCUUAGCAAAAUCAU
Molecule: long non-coding RNA, 486 nt
Filed under: Sorghum bicolor (sorghum)
Lineage: Eukaryota; Viridiplantae; Streptophyta; Magnoliopsida; Poales; Poaceae
Description: long non-coding RNA (SBIC_LNC006399)
Source: RNAcentral